Molecule: ribosomal RNA, 811 nt
Filed under: Pediococcus pentosaceus
Lineage: Bacteria; Bacillati; Bacillota; Bacilli; Lactobacillales; Lactobacillaceae
Description: bacterial SSU rRNA
Rfam family: Bacterial small subunit ribosomal RNA
Source: RNAcentral
CAUGGCUCAGGAUGAACGCUGGCGGCGUGCCUAAUACAUGCAAGUCGAACGAACUUCCGUUAAUUGAUUAUGACGUACUUGUACUGAUUGAGAUUUUAACACGAAGUGAGUGGCGAACGGGUGAGUAACACGUGGGUAACCUGCCCAGAAGUAGGGGAUAACACCUGGAAACAGAUGCUAAUACCGUAUAACAGAGAAAACCGCAUGGUUUUCUUUUAAAAGAUGGCUCUGCUAUCACUUCUGGAUGGACCCGCGGCGUAUUAGCUAGUUGGUGAGGUAAAGGCUCACCAAGGCAGUGAUACGUAGCCGACCUGAGAGGGUAAUCGGCCACAUUGGGACUGAGACACGGCCCAGACUCCUACGGGAGGCAGCAGUAGGGAAUCUUCCACAAUGGACGCAAGUCUGAUGGAGCAACGCCGCGUGAGUGAAGAAGGGUUUCGGCUCGUAAAGCUCUGUUGUUAAAGAAGAACGUGGGUAAGAGUAACUGUUUACCCAGUGACGGUAUUUAACCAGAAAGCCACGGCUAACUACGUGCCAGCAGCCGCGGUAAUACGUAGGUGGCAAGCGUUAUCCGGAUUUAUUGGGCGUAAAGCGAGCGCAGGCGGUCUUUUAAGUCUAAUGUGAAAGCCUUCGGCUCAACCGAAGAAGUGCAUUGGAAACUGGGAGACUUGAGUGCAGAAGAGGACAGUGGAACUCCAUGUGUAGCGGUGAAAUGCGUAGAUAUAUGGAAGAACACCAGUGGCGAAGGCGGCUGUCUGGUCUGCAACUGACGCUGAGGCUCGAAAGCAUGGGUAGCGAACAGGAUUAGAUA